This 756-nucleotide ribosomal RNA is filed under the name Triticum aestivum (bread wheat). Its description in RNAcentral is "partial small subunit ribosomal RNA". Lineage: Eukaryota; Viridiplantae; Streptophyta; Magnoliopsida; Poales; Poaceae. The record is from RNAcentral.
AUGACCGGUACUUUAGUGGAUCAACAACAUAUGUGGAAUGCUAUUUGGAAACUCAAAGUAAUCCCCAAAGUGAGGUUUUUCUGGUGGCGUGUGAUGCAAGGCAUCAUACAGGAUGAGUGCAACUUGAAGCAUCGCCACAUAAGAGAAAUUAACACCUGUAAGAUUUGUCUCGCCUUGGAUGAGGACUUGGAACAUGUCCUUCUGCUUUGCUCUCAUGCCUGCUGGUUUUGGGAGGAAGCCCGACUGCUCUUUGACAUACAUGCGCCAAGGCUCCGUCCUCACACAUGGACAAGGGAUAUCUUAUGUGAUCCGCAUUUUUCUGAAAAGGACAGAGCGAUCAUUGUCGCGGUGAUGUGGGCCGUUUGGAUGUAUCGCAAUCGCGUGACGCAUGACCUGGAAAGGAUAGAUCCAGCCAGCUCAAUGUUUCUCAUAUCAAGAUCAAUACAGACGGUGCAGUUCAUCUCGAUGAUGGCAACGCUGGAGCGGGGGGUGUCGCCCGCUCUUCUUCGGGAUUCAUGGGUGCAUGGUCAUUGCUGGGCAUGUCACGCGAUCCUAGUUCGUAGACCCCCGGGGCUCAUUCCUUCCGUCGACCGUCCUUCGCUUCUUCUCCGCCACAGCGCACCGAUCCCCAAGCCUUCGUCCUCACUCACGCGGGCACAGACGCAUUUCCCCAGAGUCCGACUGCAUCCACAGUCCGCGCUCGUGCUGCGCCCACGUCCGGGGGACCCACCACCGGCCCCGCCUCCGCCUCCAUAA